Molecule: ribosomal RNA, 253 nt
Filed under: uncultured bacterium
Lineage: Bacteria
Description: partial 16S ribosomal RNA
Rfam family: Bacterial small subunit ribosomal RNA
Source: RNAcentral
GACGUAGGUGGCGAACGUUAUCCGGAUUUAUUGGGCGUAAAGAGCGUGUAGGCGGCCAGACAGGUCCGUUGUGAAAACUCGAGGCUCAACCUCGAGAUGUCGAUGGAAACCGUCUGGCUAGAGUCCGGAAGAGGAGUGUGGAAUUCCUGGUGUAGCGGUGAAAUGCGCAGAUAUCAGGAAGAACACCUAUGGCGAAGGCAGCACUCUGGGACGGUACUGACGCUGAGACGCGAAAGCGUGGGGAGCGAACAGG